Long non-coding RNA from Eurytemora carolleeae, 221 nucleotides. RefSeq lists it as uncharacterized. NCBI's taxonomy places the organism in Eukaryota, Metazoa, Arthropoda, Copepoda, Calanoida, Temoridae. The record is from RefSeq and is a predicted model, not a curated record. The transcript has 2 exons.
UUUGUUAUUCAUUAUGAUUUGCUAUUGUUUACAAACAUUUUCCAGGUCAAAUAUUUGUUUAUAGUUUAGUCAAAUUGUGUUUUCUUAAGUUGGCACAUAUAUGUAUUUUGGUUAAAGCAUAUUACAUAUCAAACUGAAAAUAUAUGAUGAUUAAGUGCUUCCUGCUAGGUCUAGGUCUAGGUCUAAGUUUAGUUGAAGGUAGUCUUUUCCUUGGAAAAACC